GAUGAACGCUAGCGGCAGGCUUAAUACAUGCAAGUCGAGGGGCAUCAAGGUACACGAAAGUGUAUUGUUGGCGACCGGCGGACGGGUGAGUAAUAGGUAGGUAACCUACCUCAUACUGAGGCAUAGCUGGGAGAAAUUCCAGGUAAUUCCUCAUGAGGUUAUAUGACACAUGUGAUAUAAUCAAAGGUAUCGCAAGGUACUGGUAUGAGAUGGGCUUACUGACCAUUAGCUAGUUGGUGAGAUAAGAGCUCACCAAGGCGAAGAUGGUUAGGGGUUUGAGAGAGAGAUCCCCACAUUGGAACUGAGAUACGGUCCAGACUCCUACGGGAGGACAGCAGUAGGGAAUAUUGGGCAAUGGGCGGAAGCCUGACCCAGCCAUGCCGCGUGAAGGAAGAACGGCCUUAUGGGUUGGUAAACUUUACUUUACUAUGCGACUAACCUAAGAUUAACGUAGAUAAUUACUUAUAAGUAAUAUAGACAUAAAAAAACAACGACCGACC
RNAcentral lists this ribosomal RNA (500 nucleotides) under uncultured bacterium. RNAcentral describes it as "bacterial SSU rRNA". It matches the Rfam family "Bacterial small subunit ribosomal RNA", at positions 28 to 512 of the family's 1533-position model. The record is from RNAcentral.